This 1132-nucleotide long non-coding RNA is filed under the name Calidris pugnax (ruff). Its description in RNAcentral is "lncRNA (ENSCPUG00000017137.1)". Lineage: Eukaryota; Metazoa; Chordata; Aves; Charadriiformes; Scolopacidae. The record is from RNAcentral.
GUCUUACAGAGAUCCUAGAAAUGAUUUAUUAAUGAGACCUAGAUUUUUUCCCUGGUUGUAAUGUAGGGAGAUCUUAAUAAGCAAUGAAUUGCUGUGUCUGCAAUCACUUCUGAGAGGCUUAGAAGGAAAAUAAUAAUACUACGACUAAUAUGAUUGCUCUCCUUACACUGCCAUCCGGUGGAUGCAAAUUUCAUUUCCUUUUGUAAAUGGAAAGGGAAAUUCUCCUACUGAUAUCACAGCUUGCAAACUUGCACCAAGCUGACUCUUACUUGUAAUGUAAUUUCCAGGCCAGUGAGGAAAAUGUUGGUUAUUCUUUAAUUUUAGUUGUUUCAUAUUAGGAAAAAGCUUUCCAGUCUCUUAUCUACAAAAAAACCCCAUCAUCUACGAAGGAAUAGGAAGUAAACCUGCCUGGAUCUUCAAAAAGGGCUUUGAAAACCUCCCACUCUCUGCUCUCAAUAUCUGGCAUGGAGAGCCCAAGCCACUGAGCACUGCUGCUCCGGAUGCUUUUGGAAAAUGAAGGUUGAGCUGCUCUUUUGAUUUUCAGACAAUCAGUGUGUGGGCUAGAAACAGCAGAGCCUUGGGUCAGAUGCAGCACCGCAUUUUUGGCUUGGGGUGGGGAGGCAGGAGGCCAGGAUUUAACUCUCUGCUUUUUCCCCCUAGGACUGAUAACUGAAAUGGUUAGAAGGAGCAAGUUAUGGUGCUCACAGACUCCUACCUGCUGGUCUGCAAAUGGGACUUCACCACACUGAGCUGCAAAUCUCGCCCACCAUGGUUGGCCUCUUCACCAUCCUGGCAAAAUCUGGAGACCUGCAGCAAUAGGCUAUCCUGUGCCUCUCUGCGAGGAGGGCUGUGGAAGUGGAGCAGAAUAACCAGCCCCAGGGACCUGCGCUGGGAGGAUGAAUGAUGGUAUUUCAGCUGCUGCAGGUGGGCCAGGGUGACCAGCAUCCCACCAUGCCAAGGAGGUCAAUUGAAGUUUAGCUGCCGACUUCGUGAACAGGAUUUCAACCCAUGUCUGCGAUUAGUGAUGAAAUGAAAUCCACGGCUUGAAAUCAUUUAUCCAGCACAUCCGAUCAAACACAAACAUCUCCGUGCUUGAAAAUAAAUGAGGGUUGGAGCCAGCUAGGCUGCUGCA